GAACAGCAUCGUUUUUGACAUACGUGUUUAUCUCAGUCUUCAGGGAAACCUCUCAUCCGCAUUGACGGCAUUCCAGAUACUUGAGAAAAGUCUUCAUGGCAAACCCUCCUGCUCACAAACCUGAUCUAAAAAAGUUAUGAACCUCUGAACAAAUACAGGUGGACAGCAUGAAUGUAUGGCAAGGUGUUUGCAGACCUCCAGGCACCAGUGGAACUGAAAGGCAAUUAUGAGUCGACUUCAGCCUACACAUCUGUAGCCAUUAUUUCUCCUUCAACUUUGGAAGAUUCAGAACCAGAUUGCUUUUAUUUUCUUUUGCUGCCUAUAGGUGGGGAUUUCUGCAGCGUAGAUGUGCCCUGUUGACUAACAGGUGAGGUGCUAUUAUGACCAUUAUGCCACACAGCAACCCAGUAGAAAGAGAAAUUUUGCUGUGACCAGCUAUGCCAAUUUUUGUACAUCUGUUCAGAAACUAAAGGAUUUUAAAAUAGCCCUUAAAUGAACAAGGUACCCAUCUUUCAGCUGACGGAGGCUAUAAUUUGUUUUGUUUGUUGGAAGCAGUAAGGGGUAUCCAAAACACAUAUAUACACGUGUGUUUUUUAAGUCUUGAUUUUGAAUAACAGACAGCAUAUACUGCUAGCAUUCGUUUUUCUUAUUAAAAGUAAGAUUAAAAGGCAGGCUGUUUUGAAUCUAUUUCUAAGAGGAAUAAAUGAACAAUUUACUUCCUGGU
Molecule: long non-coding RNA, 724 nt
Filed under: Struthio camelus australis
Lineage: Eukaryota; Metazoa; Chordata; Aves; Struthioniformes; Struthionidae
Description: lncRNA (ENSSCUG00000016387.1)
Source: RNAcentral